GCGGAGUUGGCGGAGCGGUAACGCGCUGGACUCGAGAUCCAGUGACCUUCGUGGUCGCAAGGGUUCAAAUCCCUUACUCCGCGCCA
Molecule: transfer RNA, 86 nt
Filed under: Candidatus Odinarchaeota archaeon
Lineage: Archaea; Promethearchaeati; Candidatus Odinarchaeota
Also listed under: 3 other names
Description: tRNA-Ser
Rfam family: tRNA
About the family: Transfer RNA (tRNA) molecules are approximately 80 nucleotides in length.
Source: RNAcentral